UACAGAGGUCUCAACCGUUGUUCGGAAUUACUGGGCGUAAAGCGUGCGCAGGCGGCCCUCCAAGUCAGUGGUGAAAGCCCGGAGCUCAACUCCGGAAUUGCCAUUGAAACUGUAGGGCUCGAGUACGGGAGAGGUGAGUGGAAUUCCCAGUGUAGAGGUGAAAUUCGUAGAUAUUGGGAAGAACACCGGUGGCGAAGGCGGCUCACUGGCUCGUAACUGACGCUCAUGCACGACAGCGUGGGG
This 243-nucleotide ribosomal RNA is filed under the name uncultured prokaryote. RNAcentral's name for it is "partial 16S ribosomal RNA". It matches the Rfam family "Bacterial small subunit ribosomal RNA", at positions 524 to 766 of the family's 1533-position model. The record is from RNAcentral.